UGGGGAAUCUUCCGCAAUGGACGAAAGUCUGACGGAGCAACGCCGCGUGAGUGAAGACGGCCUUCGGGUUGUAAAGCUCUGUGAUCCGGGACGAAAGAGCCUGAGGUAAAUAGCCUAAGGAAGUGACGGUACCGGAAAAGCAAGCCACGGCUAACUACGUGCCAGCAGCCGCGGUAAUACGUAAGUGGCAAGCGUUGUCCGGAAUUAUUGGGCGUAAAGCGCGCGCAGGCGGCUUCCUAAGUCCAUCUUAAAAGUGCGGGGCUUAACCCCGUGAUGGGAUGGAAACUGGGAAGCUGGAGUAUCGGAGAGGAAAGUGGAAUUCCUAGUGUAGCGGUGAAAUGCGUAGAGAUUAGGAAGAACACCGGUGGCGAAGGCGACUUUCUGGACGAAAACUGACGCUGAGGCGCGAAAGCGUGGGGAGCAAACAGG
Molecule: ribosomal RNA, 429 nt
Filed under: Fusobacteriota bacterium
Lineage: Bacteria; Fusobacteriati; Fusobacteriota
Description: Fusobacteria bacterium partial 16S ribosomal RNA
Rfam family: Bacterial small subunit ribosomal RNA
Source: RNAcentral